UUUUGGGAGGGGUUGGAGAGGAGGGCGGCGGAGAAGGAGAGGCGGUCGAGGUCGGGCUUGUCGAGCCACCAUGCCCGGAACUCCGCUAGGGUUUGGGCGGCGCCGCCGGGGAUGGGGGAGACGUCGUAGCGGCGGUCGGCGAGCAUCUCGAGGAGGGUGCGCCGCGCCAGGUAGUACCGGUGGCUCUCCACGCCGCCGCCCUCCUCGCCGCUCUCCACCAUCGCGCUCAAGCAGCACCCUUCUCCUUCUCCCUCUCCCCCUCCCGCCUCCGCCAUUUUCUCUCUCUUUCGAUAGAAAUUGAAAAUUUCUCGACUUUUUUUUUUUUUUUUCAGUUACCCCGCCCUCUAAUUAGAAAACUUUAUUUUAAAAAUGCUCUUUUAAGUUAUUUUAAAUAUAUUUUUAAAGUACACUGAUAGAAAUAAUUAUUAUUUUUAUAAAAUUACUAUUCUUCCUUUUCAAAUAUAUACAUUUAGUCAUCACUAAUUUUUUUUAUUUAUUAUACAAAAUUAAUAUUUUGACUUAUGCUCUACUGCCGUCAAUUUUUCUUAUUUGUCUUUAAAUAAGAGAUAAAAGAGAUAUUUUGACUUUUUUUAAUUCUAAUAAAAAUUUAAUCCGAAUUUAAUUUGAGAUUACUUAUGCUUCAUUUGGUAUUGCGGGAAGAAUACUUUACGUGCGGUGAGAAAGUACGUUGGAAAAAUAGCUUAUUUGUUUCCGUACGUAAUAUUACGUUUCAUAUAUCGUGAUGAGUCAAUUACGAUAUAUUUUUUGCGGUCCCACCAGAAAACGCAGAAGCAUAUCCUUAUAUGCUUUUUUCAAACUCCAUUUUAUCUAAUAACGUUAGAUAGGCCUCAAUACCAAACUAAACCUUAAUAGAUACUAACGGCGUGAUUAUUUUUAAAUAAUAAAAAAAUAUACUAUGGGUAUAUUUGAAACAAAAAAAAAAGUAUGAAUAUAUAUAUAUAUAUAUAUAUAUAUAUAUAUGGAUAUAUAAAUAAUUAUUCCUAGAUUUUAAUACUAAAAAAAUGAAAAACUUAAUAAGACUAGUGUAAAAAUAAAUAAAGUGGCUUUUUGGAUGGAAGGGCGUAAAGAUUUACACCACUUUCUGUGUAUCUAGACAGAAUUUACAGUAUUCUUUUCUAAAAAAAUAUAAAUUUUUUAAAUGAUAAAAAUUAUGUUUUAACUAAAUCAAUUCAAAUGCAAUAUGUUGGUUGUACUACCUGAACUGAUUAUCAUCCGGUACAUGUGCAUGCUAGCCCUCAGCAACUUUUCAGAAAACCUUUGAAAAUACUUGUAGUAGUUCUCAUUCGAAAAAUGGUCUUAUAAAGAUCUAUAUAUGAGCAUUCGANGAGGAGGGCGGCGGAGAAGGAGAGGCGGUCGAGGUCGGGCUUGUCGAGCCACCAUGCCCGGAACUCCGCUAGGGUUUGGGCGGCGCCGCCGGGGAUGGGGGAGACGUCGUAGCGGCGGUCGGCGAGCAUCUCGAGGAGGGUGCGCCGCGCCAGGUAGUACCGGUGGCUCUCCACGCCGCCGCCCUCCUCGCCGCUCUCCACCAUCGCGCUCAAGCAGCACCCUUCUCCCCCUCCCCCUCCCCCUCCCGCCUCCGCCAUUUUCUCUCUCUUUCGAU
RNAcentral lists this long non-coding RNA (1621 nucleotides) under Ananas comosus (pineapple). RNAcentral describes it as "long non-coding RNA (ACOM_LNC018958)". Lineage: Eukaryota; Viridiplantae; Streptophyta; Magnoliopsida; Poales; Bromeliaceae. The record is from RNAcentral.